RNAcentral lists this unclassified non-coding RNA (432 nucleotides) under soil metagenome. RNAcentral describes it as "partial contains 5.8S ribosomal RNA, internal transcribed spacer 2, and large subunit ribosomal RNA". The stretch from base 1 to 120 matches the Rfam family "5.8S ribosomal RNA", at positions 35 to 154 of the family's 154-position model. The record is from RNAcentral.
GAUGAAGAACGCAGCGAAAUGCGAUACGUAAUGUGAAUUGCAGAAUUCAGUGAAUCAUCGAAUCUUUGAACGAAUAUUGCGCUCUCUGGUAUUCCGGAGAGCAUGCUUGUUUGAGUAUCAGUAAACACCUCAACUCCCCUUUCUUUUUUUGAAAUGGGAGCUGGACUUGAGUGAUCCCAACGCUUUUCUCACCGAAAAGUGGCGGGUUACUUGAAAUGCAGGUGCAGCUGGACUUUUCUCUGAGCUAAAAGCAUAUCUAUUUAGUCUGCCUAAAAAACAGAUUAUUACCUUUGCUGCAGCUAACAUAAAGGAGAUUAGUUCUUGUGCUGACUGAUGCAGGAUUCACAAAGACCGCUUCGGCUGUCUUUGUAAACUCGAUCUCAAAUCAAGUAAGACUACCCGCUGAACUUAAGCAUAUCAAUAAGCGGAGGA